AUUGAACGCUGGCGGAAUGCUUUACACAUGCAAGUCGGGCGGCAGCGCGGGGGGCAACCCUGGCGGCGAGCGGCGAACGGGUGAGUAACACAUCGGAACGUACCCUGUCGUGGGGGAUAACGAAUCGAAAGAUUCGCUAAUACCGCAUACGUCCUGAGGGAGAAAGCGGGGGAUCGCAAGACCUCGCGCGAUUGGAGCGGCCGAUAUCGGAUUAGCUAGUUGGUGGGGUAAAGGCUCACCAAGGCGACGAUCCGUAGCGGGUCUGAGAGGACGACCCGCCACACUGGAACUGAGACACGGUCCAGACUCCUACGGGAGGCAGCAGUGGGGAAUUUUGGACAAUGGGGGCAACCCUGAUCCAGCCAUUCCGCGUGAGUGAAGAAGGCCUUCGGGUUGUAAAGCUCUUUCAGCAGGAACGAAACGGUGGUCCCUAAUACGGACUACUAAUGACGGUACCUGAAGAAGAAGCACCGGCUAACUACGUG
RNAcentral lists this ribosomal RNA (485 nucleotides) under uncultured bacterium. Its description in RNAcentral is "bacterial SSU rRNA". It matches the Rfam family "Bacterial small subunit ribosomal RNA", at positions 29 to 507 of the family's 1533-position model. The record is from RNAcentral.